This 91-nucleotide ribosomal RNA is filed under the name Bacillus licheniformis. RNAcentral also lists the same sequence under 5 other names. The record is from RNAcentral. Lineage: Bacteria; Bacillati; Bacillota; Bacilli; Caryophanales; Bacillaceae.
CACCCGUUCCCAUGCCGAACACGGAAGUUAAGCUCUUCAGCGCCGAUGGUAGUUGGGGGCUUCCCCCUGUGAGAGUAGGACGCCGCCAAGC